RNAcentral lists this ribosomal RNA (1546 nucleotides) under Salmonella enterica subsp. enterica. Its description in RNAcentral is "partial 23S ribosomal RNA". It matches the Rfam family "Bacterial large subunit ribosomal RNA", at positions 689 to 2215 of the family's 2925-position model. Lineage: Bacteria; Pseudomonadati; Pseudomonadota; Gammaproteobacteria; Enterobacterales; Enterobacteriaceae. The record is from RNAcentral.
UGGGCGUUAAGUUGCAGGGUAUAGACCCGAAACCCGGUGAUCUAGCCAUGGGCAGGUUGAAGGUUGGGUAACACUAACUGGAGGACCGAACCGACUAAUGUUGAAAAAUUAGCGGAUGACCUGUGGCUGGGGGUGAAAGGCCAAUCAAACCGGGAGAUAGCUGGUUCUCCCCGAAAGCUAUUUAGGUAGCGCCUCGUGAAUUCAUCUCCGGGGGUAGAGCACUGUUUCGGCUAGGGGGCCAUCCCGGCUUACCAACCCGAUGCAAACUGCGAAUACCGGAGAAUGUUAUCACGGGAGACACACGGCGGGUGCUAACGUCCGUCGUGAAGAGGGAAACAACCCAGACCGCCAGCUAAGGUCCCAAAGUCAUGGUUAAGUGGGAAACGAUGUGGGAAGGCCCAGACAGCCAGGAUGUUGGCUUAGAAGCAGCCAUCAUUUAAAGAAAGCGUAAUAGCUCACUGGUCGAGUCGGCCUGCGCGGAAGAUGUAACGGGGCUAAACCAUGCACCGAAGCUGCGGCAGCGACGCUGAUGCGUUGUUGGGUAGGGGAGCGUUCUGUAAGCCUGCGAAGGUGGCCUGUGAGGGUUGCUGGAGGUAUCAGAAGUGCGAAUGCUGACAUAAGUAACGAUAAAGCGGGUGAAAAGCCCGCUCGCCGGAAGACCAAGGGUUCCUGUCCAACGUUAAUCGGGGCAGGGUGAGUCGACCCCUAAGGCGAGGCCGAAAGGCGUAGUCGAUGGGAAACGGGUUAAUAUUCCCGUACUUGGUGUUACUGCGAAGGGGGGACGGAGAAGGCUAUGUUGGCCGGGCGACGGUUGUCCCGGUUUAAGCGUGUAGGUGUGUGUUCCAGGUAAAUCCGGUUCACUUUAACACUGAGGCGUGAUGACGAGGCACUACGGUGCUGAAGCAACAAAUGCCCUGCUUCCAGGAAAAGCCUCUAAGCAUCAGGUAACAUCAAAUCGUACCCCAAACCGACACAGGUGGUCAGGUAGAGAAUACCAAGGCGCUUGAGAGAACUCGGGUGAAGGAACUAGGCAAAAUGGUGCCGUAACUUCGGGAGAAGGCACGCUGACACGUAGGUGAAGUGAUUUACUCAUGGAGCUGAAGUCAGUCGAAGAUACCAGCUGGCUGCAACUGUUUAUUAAAAACACAGCACUGUGCAAACACGAAAGUGGACGUAUACGGUGUGACGCCUGCCCGGUGCCGGAAGGUUAAUUGAUGGGGUCAGCGCAAGCGAAGCUCCUGAUCGAAGCCCCGGUAAACGGCGGCCGUAACUAUAACGGUCCUAAGGUAGCGAAAUUCCUUGUCGGGUAAGUUCCGACCUGCACGAAUGGCGUAAUGAUGGCCAGGCUGUCUCCACCCGAGACUCAGUGAAAUUGAACUCGCUGUGAAGAUGCAGUGUACCCGCGGCAAGACGGAAAGACCCCGUGAACCUUUACUAUAGCUUGACACUGAACAUUGAGCCUUGAUGUGUAGGAUAGGUGGGAGGCUUUGAAGUGUGGACGCCAGUCUGCAUGGAGCCGACCUUGAAAUACCACCCUUUAAUGUUU